RNAcentral lists this ribosomal RNA (254 nucleotides) under uncultured bacterium. RNAcentral's name for it is "partial 16S ribosomal RNA". It matches the Rfam family "Bacterial small subunit ribosomal RNA", at positions 524 to 776 of the family's 1533-position model. The record is from RNAcentral.
UACGUAGGGAGCGAGCGUUGUCCGGAUUUAUUGGGCGUAAAGCGCGCGUAGGCGGUUUUGUAAGUCGGGUGUGAAAACUCCAAGCUCAACUUGGAGCCUGCAUCCGAAACUGCGAUGACUAGAGUCUGGUAGGGGAACACGGAAUACCUGGUGUAGCGGUGAAAUGCUUAGAUAUCAGGUGGAACACCAGUGGCGAAGGCGGUGUUCUGGGCCAGUACUGACGCUGAUGCGCGAAAGCGUGGGGAGCGAACAGG